CUCUGGUACCUAGAGAUCCCUCAGACCAUCUAGACUGAGUGAAAAAUCUCUAGCAGUGGCGCCCGAACAGGGACUUGAAAACGAAAGUAGAACCGGAG
The sequence is a regulatory RNA element, 98 nucleotides long. It matches the Rfam family "HIV primer binding site (PBS)". Rfam says of the family: This family consists of several, structured HIV primer binding sites (PBSs). tRNA(3)(Lys) binds to the PBS to initiate reverse transcription. The record is from Rfam.